Molecule: ribosomal RNA, 253 nt
Filed under: uncultured bacterium
Lineage: Bacteria
Description: partial 16S ribosomal RNA
Rfam family: Bacterial small subunit ribosomal RNA
Source: RNAcentral
UACGAAAGGUGCAAGCGUUACUCGGAAUCACUGGGCGUAAAGCGCACGUAGGCGGACUCGUAGGUCAAUUGUGAAAUACCUGGGCUCAACCCGGGAACUGCAGUUGAAACCGCUUGUGUUGAAUACCUGAGAGGGUGGGGGAAUACCUGGUGGAGAAGUGAAAUUCGUAGAGAUCAGGUGGAACACCGGAGGCGAAGGCGCCUGCCUGGCAGUGUAUUGACGCUGAGGUGCGAAAGUGCGGGGAGCAAACAGG